RNAcentral lists this ribosomal RNA (68 nucleotides) under Neobacillus bataviensis. Its description in RNAcentral is "Bacillus bataviensis partial 16S ribosomal RNA". It matches the Rfam family "Bacterial small subunit ribosomal RNA", at positions 1 to 66 of the family's 1533-position model. Lineage: Bacteria; Bacillati; Bacillota; Bacilli; Caryophanales; Bacillaceae. The record is from RNAcentral.
CUUUCAUGGAGAGUUUGAUCCUGGCUCAGGACGAACGCUGGCGGCGUGCCUAAUACAUGCAAGUCGAG